AUUUAUGGCCAUAUCACCAUAAAUGUGCCCAUUCCCAUCUAGUCUUGGAAUUUAAGCAGGGUCGAGCUUGAUUGCCACUUGGAUGGGAGAAAGCAAAUAAUUUUGACUU
This 109-nucleotide ribosomal RNA is filed under the name Piliocolobus tephrosceles (Ugandan red Colobus). Lineage: Eukaryota; Metazoa; Chordata; Mammalia; Primates; Cercopithecidae. The record is from RNAcentral.